This 1302-nucleotide ribosomal RNA is filed under the name Psychrobacter sp. RNAcentral describes it as "bacterial SSU rRNA". It matches the Rfam family "Bacterial small subunit ribosomal RNA", at positions 94 to 1394 of the family's 1533-position model. The record is from RNAcentral. Lineage: Bacteria; Pseudomonadati; Pseudomonadota; Gammaproteobacteria; Moraxellales; Moraxellaceae.
AGCGGCGGACGGGUGAGUAAUACUUAGGAAUCUACCUAGUAGUGGGGGAUAGCACGGGGAAACUCGUAUUAAUACCGCAUACGACCUACGGGAGAAAGGGGGCAGUUUACUGCUCUCGCUAUUAGAUGAGCCUAAGUCGGAUUAGCUAGAUGGUGGGGUAAAGGCCUACCAUGGCGACGAUCUGUAGCUGGUCUGAGAGGAUGAUCAGCCACACCGGGACUGAGACACGGCCCGGACUCCUACGGGAGGCAGCAGUGGGGAAUAUUGGACAAUGGGGGAAACCCUGAUCCAGCCAUGCCGCGUGUGUGAAGAAGGCCUUUUGGUUGUAAAGCACUUUAAGCAGUGAAGAAGACUCCAUGGUUAAUACCCAUGGACGAUGACAUUAGCUGCAGAAUAAGCACCGGCUAACUCUGUGCCAGCAGCCGCGGUAAUACAGAGGGUGCAAGCGUUAAUCGGAAUUACUGGGCGUAAAGGGAGCGUAGGUGGCUCGAUAAGUCAGAUGUGAAAUCCCCGGGCUCAACCUGGGAACUGCAUCUGAUACUGUUGAGCUAGAGUAUGUGAGAGGAAGGUAGAAUUCCAGGUGUAGCGGUGAAAUGCGUAGAGAUCUGGAGGAAUACCGAUGGCGAAGGCAGCCUUCUGGCAUAAUACUGACACUGAGGCUCGAAAGCGUGGGUAGCAAACAGGAUUAGAUACCCUGGUAGUCCACGCCGUAAACGAUGUCUACUAGUCGUUGGGUCCCUUGAGGACUUAGUGACGCAGCUAACGCAAUAAGUAGACCGCCUGGGGAGUACGGCCGCAAGGUUAAAACUCAAAUGAAUUGACGGGGGCCCGCACAAGCGGUGGAGCAUGUGGUUUAAUUCGAUGCAACGCGAAGAACCUUACCUGGUCUUGACAUAUCUAGAAUCCUGCAGAGAUGCGGGAGUGCCUUCGGGAAUUAGAAUACAGGUGCUGCAUGGCUGUCGUCAGCUCGUGUCGUGAGAUGUUGGGUUAAGUCCCGCAACGAGCGCAACCCUUGUCCUUAGUUACCAGCGGGUUAAGCCGGGAACUCUAAGGAUACUGCCAGUGACAAACUGGAGGAAGGCGGGGACGACGUCAAGUCAUCAUGGCCCUUACGACCAGGGCUACACACGUGCUACAAUGGUAGGUACAGAGGGCAGCUACACAGCGAUGUGAUGCGAAUCUCAAAAAGCCUAUCGUAGUCCAGAUUGGAGUCUGCAACUCGACUCCAUGAAGUAGGAAUCGCUAGUAAUCGCGGAUCAGAAUGCCGCGGUGAAUACGUUCCCGGGCCUUGUACACACCGCC